RNAcentral lists this ribosomal RNA (486 nucleotides) under uncultured bacterium. RNAcentral's name for it is "partial 16S ribosomal RNA". It matches the Rfam family "Bacterial small subunit ribosomal RNA", at positions 30 to 507 of the family's 1533-position model. The record is from RNAcentral.
AUUGAACGCUGGCGGCAUGCCUUACACAUGCCAGUCGAACGGCAGCACGGGUGCUUGCACCUGGUGGCGAGUGGCGAACGGGUGAGUAAUACAUCGGAACAUGUCCUGUAGUGGGGGAUAGCCCGGCGAAAGCCGGAUUAAUACCGCAUACGAUCUACGGAUGAAAGCGGGGGACCUUCGGGCCUCGCGCUAUAGGGUUGGCCGAUGGCUGAUUAGCUAGUUGGUGGGGUAAAGGCCUACCAAGGCGACGAUCAGUAGCUGGUCUGAGAGGACGACCAGCCACACUGGGACUGAGACACGGCCCAGACUCCUGCGGGAGGCAGCAGUGGGGAAUUUUGGACAAUGGGCGAAAGCCUGAUCCAGCAAUGCCGCGUGUGUGAAGAAGGCCUUCGGGUUGUAAAGCACUUUUGUCCGGAAAGAAAUCCUUGGCCCUAAUACGGUCGGGGGAUGACGGUACCGGAAGAAUAAGCACCGGCUAACUACGUG